Molecule: non-coding RNA, 335 nt
Organism: Pelobates cultripes (western spadefoot toad)
Lineage: Eukaryota; Metazoa; Chordata; Amphibia; Anura; Pelobatidae
Source: the annotation of a GenBank genome assembly
CAUAUCACAUGCAGAGGGGAGGAUUUUGUGUGGGAGUGUCUGGGUGUAUUGUACGGAUUGAUUGGUUGUUUUGUAACACCCUGUGGGCUGUACUAUGUUUGUGGAUUGGGAAUAAAAGAGACUGUAUGUGACAGUACAGGGAGUUCCUGUUUUAACCCUCAAAGUGAAGUGUCGUCUCAUUAUUGGGGGAAGGAUUUAUUGUAUGCUGUUCCAGUUUGACUGCUAGGAGAGUAAACCUAUUCGUAUGGUUCCUAUUCAACUGUCUACAGCAUUCAUAUGCUUGGGAGAAUUUAUUUGUUUCUCUGGUUCGGUGAUUGUGGUGUCUGCCAGAGUGC